RNAcentral lists this ribosomal RNA (429 nucleotides) under Chloroflexota bacterium. RNAcentral describes it as "Chloroflexi bacterium partial 16S ribosomal RNA". It matches the Rfam family "Bacterial small subunit ribosomal RNA", at positions 355 to 776 of the family's 1533-position model. Lineage: Bacteria; Bacillati; Chloroflexota. The record is from RNAcentral.
UGGGGAAUAUUGCACAAUGGGCGCAAGCCUGAUGCAGCCAUGCCGCGUGUAUGAAGAAGGCCUUCGGGUUGUAAAGUACUUUCAGCGGGGAGGAAGGGAGUAAAGUUAAUACCUUUGCUCAUUGACGUUACCCGCAGAAGAAGCACCGGCUAACUCCGUGCCAGCAGCCGCGGUAAUACGGAGGGUGCAAGCGUUAAUCGGAAUUACUGGGCGUAAAGCGCACGCAGGCGGUUUGUUAAGUCAGAUGUGAAAUCCCCGGGCUCAACCUGGGAACUGCAUCUGAUACUGGCAAGCUUGAGUCUUGUAGAGGGGGGUAGAAUUCCAGGUGUAGCGGUGAAAUGCGUAGAGAUCUGGAGGAAUACCGGUGGCGAAGGCGGCCCCCUGGACAAAGACUGACGCUCAGGUGCGAAAGCGUGGGGAGCAAACAGG